GUCCAGGGGCGGGAAUCGUACCCACAACGUUCCGCUUACCGGGCAGAUGCCAUGUCCACUAGGCUACCCUGGA
Molecule: transfer RNA, 73 nt
Filed under: Cordylochernes scorpioides
Lineage: Eukaryota; Metazoa; Arthropoda; Arachnida; Pseudoscorpiones; Chernetidae
Description: tRNA-Thr
Source: RNAcentral